GAAAGUGGAGCAAUCCAUGAGUAAAGUGGCGCACGGGUGAGUAACACGUGACUAACCUACCUUUUAGUGGGGGAUAACCUAGGGAAACCUGGGCUAAUACCGCAUAACACUUACGAGUCAAAGCAGCAAUGCGCUGAAAGAGGGGGUCGCGGUCGAUUAGUUAGUUGGCAGGGUAAUGGCCUACCAAGACUGUGAUCGAUAUCCGGCCUGAGAGGGCGCACGGACACACUGGAACUGAAACACGGUCCAGACUCCUACGGGAGGCAGCAGUGGGGAAUUUUGCGCAAUGGGGGAAACCCUGACGCAGCAACGCCGCGUGGAGGAUGAAGUCCCUUGGGACGUAAACUCCUUUCGAUCGGGAAGAUUAUGACGGUACCGGAAGAAGAAGCCCCGGCUAACUUCGUGCCAGCAGCCGCGGUAAUACGAGGGGGGCAAGCGUUGUUCGGAAUUAUUGGGCGUAAAGGGUGCGUAGGUGGUUCGGCAAGUCUUGUGUGAAAUCUUCAGGCUCAACUUGAAGUCUGCACAAGAAACUGCCGGGCUUGAGUAUGGGAGAGGUGAGUGGAAUUUCCGGUGUAGCGGUGAAAUGCGUAGAUAUCGGAAGGAACACCUGUGGCGA
This 616-nucleotide ribosomal RNA is filed under the name uncultured bacterium. Its description in RNAcentral is "bacterial SSU rRNA". It matches the Rfam family "Bacterial small subunit ribosomal RNA", at positions 70 to 718 of the family's 1533-position model. The record is from RNAcentral.